GGGGGGGAGGAUUUGGUCAGAUCUAGAAGAAUUCGAGUUUUGGGAGAUGUUCUCCACAUCAAUGUCAUGGAUAGCAUCGGCCUCGAUUCCAAGAGGGAGAUCCGUUGGAAGGUGCCUGUCCGUGACAUUGUCGUUUGGGAUCUGAACUGGUACGCCAGAUCUCGUUGAAUCGGAUGAAUUCAGAUCCAUGAUCGUUGGUCACAAUAGAUGUGUUAGUUUCGGUGUUGGAAGGAUCUAUUUUCGUCCCCACAGACGGCGCCAAAUGUGGGUUUCGAAAUCCACACUAGAGAUUUGUAAAUAGAAUUAUGAGAAAGGAGGGAUAGAUCUUAACAAGAACUUUGAGAUUUAUAUUGCUAAGAACGAAUGGACUUUUGUAUUGAUUAUAACAGAGGUUUUACAAUGUGAAAGGAGAUUACAAGUGUAAAAGUAUAAGUGUGAAUGUUAAGCUGAAUGAAUGUGUCUUCCAAGUCUUUCUUGCUUCUUCAUAUAGGUCUACGCACGUGGUAGCUCUGUCCGAGAUCCGCGGAGAUUCUCCUAGAUAUUCGGCAGGUCAGUUCCGAGAUAUCAGGUCCGCUCCGCAAAUAUCUCCCUAUUAGUUUCUAGGUUGUUAUUCGCUUAUCUCCUUUCAUCAGGUGACCGGGCUUGUCAGGCCCAAAUACCAAUUUACGUACAUGGGCUCAUCAGUUGUGCAGGUCCUCUUACUUGGUGGGCUUGGUGGGCUUAUUGGGGUGGCCUGAUAUUUUUGCAGGUGGAUUUUUGGAGGGAAAUCCAGUUCCAACAUCUUGUUUUCCUGGA
RNAcentral lists this small RNA (795 nucleotides) under Arabidopsis thaliana (thale cress). Its description in RNAcentral is "ATSL096740". The record is from RNAcentral. Lineage: Eukaryota; Viridiplantae; Streptophyta; Magnoliopsida; Brassicales; Brassicaceae.